RNAcentral lists this ribosomal RNA (453 nucleotides) under uncultured bacterium. RNAcentral describes it as "bacterial SSU rRNA". It matches the Rfam family "Bacterial small subunit ribosomal RNA", at positions 340 to 786 of the family's 1533-position model. The record is from RNAcentral.
UACGGGAGGCAGCAGGGGGAAUAUUGCACAAUGGGCGCGAAGCCUGAUGCAGCCAUGCCGCGUGUAUGAAGAAGGCCUUCGGGUUGUAAAGUACUUUCAGUCGUGAGGAAGGUGUUAAGGUUAAUAACCUUAGCAAUUGACGUUAGCGACAGAAGAAGCACCGGCUAACUCCGUGCCAGCAGCCGCGGUAAUACGGAGGGUGCGAGCGUUAAUCGGAAUUACUGGGCGUAAAGGGCACGCAGGCGGUUAAUUAAGUUGGAUGUGAAAUCCCCGGGCUUAACCUGGGAAUGGCAUUCAAGACUGGUUAGCUAGAGUCUUGUAGAGGGGGUAGAAUUCCAUGUGUAGCGGUGAAAUGCGUAGAGAUGUGGAGGAAUACCGGUGGCGAAGGCGGCCCCUGGACAAAGACUGACGCUCAUGUGCGAAAGCGUGGGGAGCAAACAGGGAUUAGAUACC